This 324-nucleotide unclassified non-coding RNA is filed under the name plant metagenome. Its description in RNAcentral is "partial contains 5.8S ribosomal RNA, internal transcribed spacer 2, and large subunit ribosomal RNA". The stretch from base 1 to 105 matches the Rfam family "5.8S ribosomal RNA", at positions 50 to 154 of the family's 154-position model. The record is from RNAcentral.
GAAAUGCGAUAAUUAAUGUGAAUUGCAGAAUUCAGUGAAUCAUCGAGUCUUUGAACGCACAUUGCGCCCCCUGGUAUUCCGGGGGGCAUGCCUGUCCGAGCGUCAUUGCUGCCCUCAAGCACGGCUUGUGUGUUGGGCUUCCGUCCCUGGCAACGGGGACGGGCCCAAAAGGCAGUGGCGGCUUCGCGGUUAUCCGAUCAGCCAGAGCGUAUGGGGACUCUCUCUCUUGUCACACGCCCGCGGCGCGGACCGACGCCUGUCGACCUUUAUUCAUCUUCUCUCGGUUGACCUCGGAUCAGGUAGGGAUACCCGCUGAACUUAAGC